UAUGAGAGUUUGAUCCUGGCUCAGGACGAACGCUGGCGGCGUGCCUAAUACAUGCAAGUCGUACGCUUCUUUUUCCACCGGAGCUUGCUCCACCGGAAAAAGAAGAGUGGCGAACGGGUGAGUAACACGUGGGUAACCUACCCAUCAGAAGGGGAUAACACUUGGAAACAGGUGCUAAUACCGUAUAACAAUCGAAACCGCAUGGUUUUGAUUUGAAAGGCGCUUUCGGGUGUCGCUGAUGGAUGGACCCGCGGUGCAUUAGCUAGUUGGUGAGGUAACGGCUCACCAAGGCAACGAUGCAUAGCCGACCUGAGAGGGUGAUCGGCCACAUUGGGACUGAGACACGGCCCAAACUCCUACGGGAGGCAGCAGUAGGGAAUCUUCGGCAAUGGACGAAAGUCUGACCGAGCAACGCCGCGUGAGUGAAGAAGGUUUUCGGAUCGUAAAACUCUGUUGUUAGAGAAGAACAAGGAUGAGAGUAACUGUUCAUCCCUUGACGGUAUCUAACCAGAAAGCCACGGCUAACUACGUGCCAGCAGCCGCGGUAAUACGUAGGUGGCAAGCGUUGUCCGGAUUUAUUGGGCGUAAAGCGAGCGCAGGCGGUUUCUUAAGUCUGAUGUGAAAGCCCCCGGCUCAACCGGGGAGGGUCAUUGGAAACUGGGAGACUUGAGUGCAGAAGAGGAGAGUGGAAUUCCAUGUGUAGCGGUGAAAUGCGUAGAUAUAUGGAGGAACACCAGUGGCGAAGGCGGCUCUCUGGUCUGUAACUGACGCUGAGGCUCGAAAGCGUGGGGAGCAAACAGGAUUAGAUACCCUGGUAGUCCACGCCGUAAACGAUGAGUGCUAAGUGUUGGAGGGUUUCCGCCCUUCAGUGCUGCAGCUAACGCAUUAAGCACUCCGCCUGGGGAGUACGACCGCAAGGUUGAAACUCAAAGGAAUUGACGGGGGCCCGCACAAGCGGUGGAGCAUGUGGUUUAAUUCGAAGCAACGCGAAGAACCUUACCAGGUCUUGACAUCCUUUGACCACUCUAGAGAUAGAGCUUCCCCUUCGGGGGCAAAGUGACAGGUGGUGCAUGGUUGUCGUCAGCUCGUGUCGUGAGAUGUUGGGUUAAGUCCCGCAACGAGCGCAACCCUUAUUGUUAGUUGCCAUCAUUCAGUUGGGCACUCUAGCAAGACUGCCGGUGACAAACCGGAGGAAGGUGGGGAUGACGUCAAAUCAUCAUGCCCCUUAUGACCUGGGCUACACACGUGCUACAAUGGGAAGUACAACGAGUCGCGAAGUCGCGAGGCUAAGCUAAUCUCUUAAAGCUUCUCUCAGUUCGGAUUGUAGGCUGCAACUCGCCUACAUGAAGCCGGAAUCGCUAGUAAUCGCGGAUCAGCACGCCGCGGUGAAUACGUUCCCGGGCCUUGUACACACCGCCCGUCACACCACGAGAGUUUGUAACACCCGAAGUCGGUGAGGUAACCUUUUGGAGCCAGCCGCCUAAGGUGGGAUAGAUGAUUGGGGUGAAGUCGUAACAAGGUAGCCGUAUCGGAAGGUGCGGCUGGAUCACCUCCUUUCUAAGGAA
This 1565-nucleotide ribosomal RNA is filed under the name Bifidobacterium adolescentis. RNAcentral describes it as "bacterial SSU rRNA". It matches the Rfam family "Bacterial small subunit ribosomal RNA". Lineage: Bacteria; Bacillati; Actinomycetota; Actinomycetes; Bifidobacteriales; Bifidobacteriaceae. The record is from RNAcentral.